RNAcentral lists this transfer RNA (77 nucleotides) under Streptomyces sp. WAC07149. RNAcentral describes it as "tRNA-Trp". It matches the Rfam family "tRNA". Rfam says of the family: Transfer RNA (tRNA) molecules are approximately 80 nucleotides in length. Their secondary structure includes four short double-helical elements and three loops (D, anti-codon, and T loops). Further hydrogen bonds mediate the characteristic L-shaped molecular structure. tRNAs have two regions of fundamental functional importance: the anti-codon, which is responsible for specific mRNA codon recognition, and the 3' end, to which the tRNAs corresponding amino acid is attached (by aminoacyl-tRNA synthetases). tRNAs cope with the degeneracy of the genetic code in two manners: having more than one tRNA (with a specific anti-codon) for a particular amino acid; and 'wobble' base-pairing, i.e. permitting non-standard base-pairing at the 3rd anti-codon position. Lineage: Bacteria; Bacillati; Actinomycetota; Actinomycetes; Kitasatosporales; Streptomycetaceae. The record is from RNAcentral.
AGGGGUAUAGCUCAGCUGGUCAGAGCGCUGGUCUCCAAAACCAGAUGCCGUAGGUUCGAAUCCUGCUACCCCUGCCA